CCUACGGGUGGCAGCAGUGGGGAAUAUUGCACAAUGGGGGAAACCCUGAUGCAGCGACGCCGCGUGAGUGAAGAAGUAUUUCGGUAUGUAAAGCUCUAUCAGCAGGGAAGAAAAUGACUGUACCUGACUAAGAAGCCCCGGCUAACUACGUGCCAGCAGCCGCGGUAAUACGUAGGGGGCAAGCGUUAUCCGGAUUUACUGGGUGUAAAGGGAGCGUAGACGGCGGAACAAGUCAGAAGUGAAAACCCGGGGCUCAACCCUGGGAGUGCUUUUGAAACUGUGUGGCUAGAGUGCAGGAGAGGUAAGCGGAAUUCCUAGUGUAGCGGUGAAAUGCGUAGAGAUUAGGAGGAAGACCAGUGGCGAAGGCGGCUUACUGGACUGUAACUGACGUUGAGGCUCGAAAGCGUGGGGAGCAAACAGGAUUAGAUACCCUAGUAGUC
Molecule: ribosomal RNA, 440 nt
Filed under: uncultured bacterium
Lineage: Bacteria
Description: partial 16S ribosomal RNA
Rfam family: Bacterial small subunit ribosomal RNA
Source: RNAcentral